GAUGAACGUUGGCGGUGUGCCUAAUACAUGCAAGUCGAACGGAGAUUGUAGCAAUACGGUCUUAGUGGCGAACGGGUGAGUAACGCGUUGGUGAUCUGCCUCGAAGUGUGGAAUAACGAUUCGAAAGAAUCGCUAAUACCGCAUAGUCUCUCUUUUUCCAGAAAUUUGAGAGUAAAGGAUUUAUUCGCUUUGAGAGGAGCCUGCGUCCCAUCAGCUUGUUGGUGAGGUAAAAGCUCACCAAGGCGACAAUCUUUAGCUGGUCUGAGAGGAUGAUCAGCCACACUGGGACUGAGACACGGCCCAGACUCCUACGGGAGGCAGCAGUGGGGAAUAUUGGACAAUGGGCGAAAGCCUGAUCCAGCAAUGCCGCGUGAGUGAUGAAGGCCUUAGGGUUGUAAAGCUCUUUUACCAGGGAUGAUAAUGACAGUACCUGGAGAAUAAGCUCCGGCUAACUCCGUG
This 459-nucleotide ribosomal RNA is filed under the name uncultured bacterium. RNAcentral describes it as "bacterial SSU rRNA". It matches the Rfam family "Bacterial small subunit ribosomal RNA", at positions 28 to 507 of the family's 1533-position model. The record is from RNAcentral.